This 673-nucleotide long non-coding RNA is filed under the name Pan paniscus (pygmy chimpanzee). RNAcentral describes it as "lncRNA (ENSPPAG00000044366.1)". Lineage: Eukaryota; Metazoa; Chordata; Mammalia; Primates; Hominidae. The record is from RNAcentral.
GCUGUGGCACAGUCUUGGCUCACUGCAACCUCUGCCUCCCAGGUUCAAGGGAUUCUCCUGCCUUAGCCUCCCGAGUAGCUGGGAUUACAGGCGCCUGCCACCACGCCCGGCUAAUAUUUGUGAUUUUUUUUUUAGUGGAGACGAGGUUUCACUAUGUAGGCGAAGCUGGUCUCGAACUCCUGACCUCAGAUGAUCCACCCGCCUCAGCCUCCCAAAGUGCUGGGAUUACAGGCGUGAGCCACCGCGCCUGGCCUGUUUAUUCUCUUAAGAGAGAAAAUGAGGGGAUUAAUGGACUGUAGUUCUGGACAAGGUGGAAAACUCUUAAAGUGGAAGUAUUGGGGUGGUGGAAAGGAAAUCCCUCACAGCAACUGGCACCAUAAUCAAGACAAUGUUUGCAGAAUAAAUGGAGUUACCUGCUUUCAGCCCCAGGUCGUAGCUAUUGUCUGCCCUGCUGAUAUGUGAUAAUAAUUUGUGAUCCUGUUGUCUUAAAAUGGGGUCACUCAUCUCCAGUAGAAUUAAGUCCACAGUGAAGUUGUCCCCCCAUCCCCAAAGAGAUAAACAUAUAUGAAUGAACUCACGUGAUAACAACUACUGCUGCCUGGGAUCAUGAGAGACCUGAAAUGAACUGAUAGGAAGUGAAAAGUGGCUGAGAUGAUGAGAAUAGACCCAUCNG